Molecule: ribosomal RNA, 301 nt
Filed under: uncultured bacterium
Lineage: Bacteria
Description: partial 16S ribosomal RNA
Rfam family: Bacterial small subunit ribosomal RNA
Source: RNAcentral
CAGUCGCCACGGGAAUACGUAGGUGGCAAGCGUUGUCCGGAAUUAUUGGGCGUAAAGCGCGCGCAGGCGGAUCAGUCAGUCUGUCUUAAAAGUUCGGGGCUUAACCCCGUGAGGGGAUGGAAACUACUGAUCUAGAGUAUCGGAGAGGAAAGUGGAAUUCCUAGUGUAGCGGUGAAAUGCGUAGAUAUUAGGAAGAACACCAGUGGCGAAGGCGACUUUCUGGACGAAAACUGACGCUGAGGCGCGAAAGCCAGGGGAGCGAACGGGAUUAGAUACCCCAGUAGUCCCUGUCUCUUAUACA